UGUGGGAGCGGGCUUGCUCGCGAUAGCGGUGUGUCAGUGCCAGAUUAACUGACUGAUAGACCGCUAUCGCGAGCAAGCCCGCUCCCACA
RNAcentral lists this unclassified non-coding RNA (89 nucleotides) under Pseudomonas gessardii. Lineage: Bacteria; Pseudomonadati; Pseudomonadota; Gammaproteobacteria; Pseudomonadales; Pseudomonadaceae. The record is from RNAcentral.